Molecule: ribosomal RNA, 492 nt
Filed under: uncultured bacterium
Lineage: Bacteria
Description: partial 16S ribosomal RNA
Rfam family: Bacterial small subunit ribosomal RNA
Source: RNAcentral
AGUGAACGCUGGCGGUAGGCCUAACACAUGCAAGUCGAACGGCAGCACAGUGAGAGCUUGCUCUUACGGGUGGCGAGUGGCGGGCGGGUGAGAAGUACAUCGGAAUCUACUUUUUCGUGGGGUAUAACGUAGGGAAACUUACGCUAAUACCGCAUACGGCCUACGGGUGAAAGCAGGGGAUCUUCGGACCUUGCGCGAUUGUAUGAGCCGAUGUCGGAUUAGCUAGUUGGUGGGGUAAGGGCCCACCAAGGCGACGAUCCGUAGCUGGUCUGAGAGGAUGAUCAGCCACACUGGAACUGAGACACGGUCCAGACUCCUACGGGAGGCAGCAGUGGGGAAUAUUGGACAAUGGGCGCAAGCCUGAUCCAGCCAUACCGCGUGGGUGAAGAAGGCCUUCGGGUUGUAAAGCCCUUUUGUUGGGGAAGAAAAGCAGCAGGUUAAUACCCCGCUGUUUUGACGGUACCCAAAGAAUAAGCACCGGCUAACUUCGUG